This 468-nucleotide ribosomal RNA is filed under the name uncultured bacterium. RNAcentral's name for it is "partial 16S ribosomal RNA". It matches the Rfam family "Bacterial small subunit ribosomal RNA", at positions 28 to 507 of the family's 1533-position model. The record is from RNAcentral.
GACGAACGCUGGCGGCGUGCUUAACACAUGCAAGUCGAACGGAAAGGCCCUGCUUUUGUGGGGUGCUCGAGUGGCGAACGGGUGAGUAAAACGUGAGUAACCUGCCCUUGACUUUGGGAUAACUUCAGGAAAAUGGGGCUAAUACCGGAUAGGAGCUCCUGCUGCAUGGUGGGGGUUGGAAAGUUUCGGCGGUUGGGGAUGGACUCGCGGCUUAUCAGCUUGUUGGUGGGGUAGUGGCUUACCAAGGCUUUGACGGGUAGCCGGCCUGAGAGGGUGACCGGCCACAUUGGGACUGAGAUACGGCCCAGACUCCUACGGGAGGCAGCAGUGGGGAAUAUUGCACAAUGGGCGGAAGCCUGAUGCAGCAACGCCGCGUGCGGGAUGACGGCCUUCGGGUUGUAAACCGCUUUCGCCUGUGACGAAGCGUGAGUGACGGUAAUGGGUAAAGAAGCACCGGCUAACUACGUG